This 18-nucleotide small nuclear RNA is filed under the name Arabidopsis thaliana (thale cress). Its description in RNAcentral is "snRNA_08640". Lineage: Eukaryota; Viridiplantae; Streptophyta; Magnoliopsida; Brassicales; Brassicaceae. The record is from RNAcentral.
CGACACUCGGUAAUAAAG